Molecule: ribosomal RNA, 1378 nt
Filed under: Salmonella enterica subsp. enterica serovar Enteritidis
Lineage: Bacteria; Pseudomonadati; Pseudomonadota; Gammaproteobacteria; Enterobacterales; Enterobacteriaceae
Description: partial 23S ribosomal RNA
Rfam family: Bacterial large subunit ribosomal RNA
Source: RNAcentral
CGGUAAGGUGAUAUGAACCGUUAUAACCGGCGAUACCCGAAUGGGGAAACCCAGUGUGAUUCGUCACACUAUCAUUAACUGAAUCCAUAGGUUAAUGAGGCGAACCGGGGGAACUGAAACAUCUAAGUACCCCGAGGAAAAGAAAUCAACCGAGAUUCCCCCAGUAGCGGCGAGCGAACGGGGAGGAGCCCAGAGCCUGAAUCAGCAUGUGUGUUAGUGGAAGCGUCUGGAAAGGCGCGCGAUACAGGGUGACAGCCCCGUACACAAAAGCGCAUGUGCUGUGAGCUCGAUGAGUAGGGCGGGACACGUGGUAUCCUGUCUGAAUAUGGGGGGACCAUCCUCCAAGGCUAAAUACUCCUGACUGACCGAUAGUGAACCAGUACCGUGAGGGAAAGGCGAAAAGAACCCCGGCGAGGGGAGUGAAAAAGAACCUGAAACCGUGUACGUACAAGCAGUGGGAGCACCCUUUGGGUGUGACUGCGUACCUUUUGUAUAAUGGGUCAGCGACUUAUAUUCUGUAGCAAGGUUAACCGAAUAGGGGAGCCGGAGGGAAACCGAGUCUUAACCGGGCGUUAAGUUGCAGGGUAUAGACCCGAAACCCGGUGAUCUAGCCAUGGGCAGGUUGAAGGUUGGGUAACACUAACUGGAGGACCGAACCGACUAAUGUUGAAAAAUUAGCGGAUGACCUGUGGCUGGGGGUGAAAGGCCAAUCAAACCGGGAGAUAGCUGGUUCUCCCCGAAAGCUAUUUAGGUAGCGCCUCGUGAAUUCAUCUCCGGGGGUAGAGCACUGUUUCGGCUAGGGGGCCAUCCCGGCUUACCAACCCGAUGCAAACUGCGAAUACCGGAGAAUGUUAUCACGGGAGACACACGGCGGGUGCUAACGUCCGUCGUGAAGAGGGAAACAACCCAGACCGCCAGCUAAGGUCCCAAAGUCAUGGUUAAGUGGGAAACGAUGUGGGAAGGCCCAGACAGCCAGGAUGUUGGCUUAGAAGCAGCCAUCAUUUAAAGAAAGCGUAAUAGCUCACUGGUCGAGUCGGCCUGCGCGGAAGAUGUAACGGGGCUAAACCAUGCACCGAAGCUGCGGCAGCGACACUGUGUGUUGUUGGGUAGGGGAGCGUUCUGUAAGCCUGUGAAGGUGUGUCGUGAGGCAUGCUGGAGGUAUCAGAAGUGCGAAUGCUGACAUAAGUAACGAUAAAGCGGGUGAAAAGCCCGCUCGCCGGAAGACCAAGGGUUCCUGUCCAACGUUAAUCGGGGCAGGGUGAGUCGACCCCUAAGGCGAGGCCGAAAGGCGUAGUCGAUGGGAAACGGGUUAAUAUUCCCGUACUUGGUGUUACUGCGAAGGGGGGACGGAGAAGGCUAUGUUGGCCGGGCGACGGUU